GACUGCGGAGGGAUCAUUACCGAGUUUACAACUCCCAAACCCCUGUGAACAUACCACUUGUUGCCUCGGCGGAUCAGCCCGCUCCCGGUAAAACGGGACGGCCCGCCAGAGGACCCCUAAACUCUGUUUCUAUAUGUAACUUCUGAGUAAAACCAUAAAUAAAUCAAAACUUUCAACAACGGAUCUCUUGGUUCUGGCAUCGAUGAAGAACGCAGCAAAAUGCGAUAAGUAAUGUGAAUUGCAGAAUUCAGUGAAUCAUCGAAUCUUUGAACGCACAUUGCGCCCGCCAGUAUUCUGGCGGGCAUGCCUGUUCGAGCGUCAUUUCAACCCUCAAGCACAGCUUGGUGUUGGGACUCGCGUUAAUUCGCGUUCCCCAAAUUGAUUGGCGGUCACGUCGAGCUUCCAUAGCGUAGUAGUAAAACCCUCGUUACUGGUAAUCGUCGCGGCCACGCCGUUAAACCCCAACUUCUGAAUGUGACCUCGGAUCAGGUAGGAAUGCCGGAU
RNAcentral lists this ribosomal RNA (504 nucleotides) under Fusarium oxysporum. RNAcentral's name for it is "eukaryotic LSU rRNA". The stretch from base 168 to 321 matches the Rfam family "5.8S ribosomal RNA". The record is from RNAcentral. Lineage: Eukaryota; Fungi; Ascomycota; Sordariomycetes; Hypocreales; Nectriaceae.